UCCGUUGUAGCAAUACGAUGGAAAGUCUAGUGGCGAACGGGUGCUUAACACGUGGGCAACCUGCCAAGAAGUGGGGGAUAGCUCGCCGAAAGGCGAAUUAAUACCGCAUGUGAUUAGAGUGGACAUCCAUUCGAAAUUAAAGUCGGGGCAACCUGACGCUUCUUGUGGGGCCCGCGGCCUAUCAGCUAGUUGGUGAGGUAACGGCUCACCAAGGCUUUGACGGGUAGCUGGUCUGAGAGGACGACCAGCCACACUGGGACUGAGACACGGCCCAGACACCUACGGGUGGCAGCAGUCGAGAAUUUUUGACAAUGGGGGAAACCCUGAUCGAGCGACGCCGCGUGGAGGAUGAAGGUCUUCGGAUUGUAAACUCCUGUCAUUGGGGAACAAUGCGUGACGCUUAACUGCCGUUGCGUUGAUAGUACCCGAAGAGGAAGAGACGGCUAACUCUGUGCCAGCAGCCGCGGUAAUACAGAGGUCUCAAGCGUUGUUCGGAUUCAUUGGGCGUAAAGGGUGCGUAGGCGGCGCGGUAAGUCGGGUGUGAAAUCUCGGAGCUUAACUCCGAAACUGCAUUCGAUACUGCCGUGCUUGAGGACUGGAGAGGAGACUGGAAUUCUCGGUGUAGCA
This 627-nucleotide ribosomal RNA is filed under the name uncultured Verrucomicrobiota bacterium. RNAcentral describes it as "bacterial SSU rRNA". It matches the Rfam family "Bacterial small subunit ribosomal RNA", at positions 70 to 680 of the family's 1533-position model. Lineage: Bacteria; Pseudomonadati; Verrucomicrobiota. The record is from RNAcentral.